RNAcentral lists this ribosomal RNA (468 nucleotides) under uncultured bacterium. Its description in RNAcentral is "partial 16S ribosomal RNA". It matches the Rfam family "Bacterial small subunit ribosomal RNA", at positions 28 to 507 of the family's 1533-position model. The record is from RNAcentral.
GACGAACGCUGGCGGCGUGCUUAACACAUGCAAGUCGAACGGAAAGACCCUGCUUUUGUGGGGUGCUCGAGUGGCGAACGGGUGAGUAACACGUGAGUAACCUGCCCUUGACUUUGGGAUAACUUCAGGAAACUGGGGCUAAUACCGGAUAGGAGCUCCUGCUGCAUGGUGGGGGUUGGAAAGUUUCGGCGGUUGGGGAUGGACUCGCGGCUUAUCAGCUUGUUGGUGGGGUAGUGGCUUACCAAGGCUUUGACGGGUAGCCGGCCUGAGAGGGUGACCGGCCACAUUGGGCCUGAGAUACGGCCCAGACUCCUACGGGAGGCAGCAGCGGGGAAUAUUGCACAAUGGGCGGAAGCCUGAUGCAGCAACGCCGCGUGCGGGAUGACGGCCUUCGGGUUGUAAACCGCUUUCGCCUGUGACGAAGCGUGAGUGACGGUAAUGGGUAAAGAAGCACCGGCUAACUACGUG